UUGAACUAAUCCUUUGAUUUGAAUGAUUCAGUUAUUUAUUAAAACAGGGACUUGCUGCCACCUACUGGUAGUUUCUAUUUAUUUAUCCAUGACAGGCCUAAACCACCCAAGAUACCAGCACAAAAACACAAAUAAUAAUUAUUUGUUAUCAAUAAUACAAUAAUUAUCGACAAAAGUGUUCCCAAUGUUUCCACCAGCCGCCAGGAAGACGACAGCGUCUUGCUCUUUUCUUUUUUUCCCCUGAUGUUUUCAUAGACCAGAUACCUCCUUUUCCAUAUUUAUCAACGUUAUUUUCCAUAUUUAUUAAAAACUGGAGAAAAUAAAUAAAUAAAUAAAAGCUUAAUGAAGAUAUUCAAUAGCCUACAGAAAAUAUAAAUAAUUUGCAACAACACUGUAAAAAAGUAUAUCGCAGUUUAGUUUCAGUUAAUGUUUUUAAGUUGACUCAACUUUCAGUUCAUUAGUUUGUUCAUUCAACUUAAAAUUUUAAAUUUCACUGUCUCAACUAGUUAGUUAAGUUGACAAAACUAGCCAUUUGCCCCCUCAACUUUAAUAACGAUAUCACGUCACUUAUCGCGAGAUCACGUGAAGACUUGCAGAAAGAAGACGUUGGUCAGCCAUCUUGAUGAGCUUCUCCACAGAGCUUGAAUAUGUUUUCAAACCAACACUUUUGCACACAGGUUCUCAAGAGGAAUUCAUCAAGGACAAGUCUGUUGGCAUUAUAGUUGUUGGGUGACCAAAAUGAGCACCAUCAAUCUGCAGUGAUGUGGUCCCGGUAAUAGAAGAAGAAAUCUUGUUUAUCUGCAGUUGUAACAUCCAUCUCAUGAAUUGAGGUGACAUGGGCAUCUUGAUUGUGACUGAGGAGCCAAUGACGUUGCUAUCAUUUUGGAAGAGCGUCUUGUCGCCAUCAAUAUCUGUGACGUCCCGAAAGCAUUUGUGCUCCUGAUGGGUCGUCUUUACAUCAUUAACAAAACAUAGUACAGUUCUGAUGUUCUCAAAACUUUGCACAAACAUUGGUGGGAGUAACUGUUCUUCACGUGUUUACGGGCUACGAAACAUGCUACUCUGCAAAAAGUAGGCUUUUUGGUUGGUUUUUGCACUUUGUUCAACUCACAUUAUUUGCCAUGUUAUGGCAUCUCUUUUUAAAAUUUUGAAUGCACUUUGAUGCAUGUUCUGACUCUUAUAUUGAAAUGGAAAAUUUCAGAAUUACUCAUCUGUUCUUUUGAUUAAAUGUGCAUUAGUGAAAGGAAUGUAGAU
Onychostoma macrolepis is the source of this 1254-nucleotide long non-coding RNA. RefSeq lists it as uncharacterized. Lineage: Eukaryota; Metazoa; Chordata; Actinopteri; Cypriniformes; Cyprinidae. The record is from RefSeq and is a predicted model, not a curated record. The transcript has 3 exons.